Molecule: non-coding RNA, 147 nt
Organism: Delphinella strobiligena
Lineage: Eukaryota; Fungi; Ascomycota; Dothideomycetes; Dothideales; Dothioraceae
Source: the annotation of a GenBank genome assembly
GCAGCGGUGGUCUAAUGGUAUGAUUCUACUCUUCCAAUCGCUUCGAGCGUACACGAUCUUAAGACUAGGCGAGAAUCUUGCCGGGACGGGUGCUUGCACUCUUGAUCUGGUGAGGUGGAGAUGUAGGUUCGAAUCCUACUCGCUGCA